Molecule: non-coding RNA, 175 nt
Filed under: Candidatus Lambdaproteobacteria bacterium RIFOXYD2_FULL_50_16
Lineage: Bacteria; Pseudomonadati; Pseudomonadota; Candidatus Lambdaproteobacteria
Description: 6S RNA
Rfam family: 6S / SsrS RNA
About the family: E. coli 6S RNA was the first non coding RNA to be sequenced, but its function was unknown until recently.
Source: RNAcentral
UUAGGACUGCCCUGUACGUGACCUUUAGGAUCGGUUGAGCCGUGACUUAAAAAAAGGGACAGAUCUCUGUCGCCGGUGUGCAUGCCUGCUCUGCAGGAAGCCUAAUGGCGUUAUAUUUCUCCCACCUGAGCAAUCAGGUUCAUACACCUCCUAAUUCACGGCAGGGCGGUUUUAC